This is a long non-coding RNA of Asparagus officinalis (garden asparagus), 565 nucleotides long. RefSeq lists it as uncharacterized. The transcript is spliced from 2 exons. NCBI's taxonomy places the organism in Eukaryota, Viridiplantae, Streptophyta, Magnoliopsida, Asparagales, Asparagaceae. The record is from RefSeq and is a predicted model, not a curated record.
UUUUACAUGAUACCUAUUGCUGACGUGCAGUCACUGGAAAAUCUCGAUAGCCUGGAAAAAUCGGCUACUUUCCUCAGGCCUAUGAUAGAUCUAAUAAAGUAAUUCAUUGAUGAGAUAUAUGCAAUUGCUUCCAAGCGAGAAAACCUGCAAAGGGAGAUGGAACGGCGGAUAGUAACACAACAUAUGACUUGCAUGGAUGUAUAACAUCACACUCAGUCUUCUGAUGAUUCCCAAAAACAUCUGAGAAGAAGCUUGGUUAUGUUCUUGUUAGCGGAGCAACAAACAAUCAAAAUGCAAUUGACCAACCUUUAAGGAGAGCUGGACGGUUUGAUCGUGAUAAGUCUUUGGGUGAACCUGAUGAAAAAACCACUGCUAGAGAUCCUGUCAGUUAUUACUCGAAAAUGUAAAUGUGUGUUUUGGAGAGAGUGGAGUCAAUGAGAUAUAGUUUUAUAUAAUAAUUAUGUCCUUUUGAACUUUUAAGUGUUUCAUAAAAUUACAAGCUGAGUAUUGCAUGAUUGCAAGGUUAGAUGAUCAAUGAAUUCCUAUCGUUCAAUUGCAUUGCAAA